Molecule: ribosomal RNA, 603 nt
Filed under: uncultured fungus
Lineage: Eukaryota; Fungi
Description: eukaryotic LSU rRNA
Rfam family: Eukaryotic large subunit ribosomal RNA
Source: RNAcentral
ACCCGCUGAACUUAAGCAUAUCAAUAAGCGGAGGAAAAGAAACCAACAGGGAUUGCCCUAGUAACGGCGAGUGAAGCGGCAACAGCUCAAAUUUGAAAUCUGGCGUCUUUGGCGUCCGAGUUGUAAUUUGCAGAGGGCGCUUUGGCAUUGGCAGCGGUCCAAGUUCCUUGGAACAGGACGUCACAGAGGGUGAGAAUCCCGUACGUGGUCGCUAGCCUUUACCGUGUAAGGCCCCUUCGACGAGUCGAGUUGUUUGGGAAUGCAGCUCUAAAUGGGAGGUAAAUUUCUUCUAAAGCUAAAUACUGGCCAGAGACCGAUAGCGCACAAGUAGAGUGAUCGAAAGAUGAAAAGCACUUUGGAAAGAGAGUUAAAAAGCACGUGAAAUUGUUGAAAGGGAAGCGCUUGCAGCCAGACUUGCCUGUAGUUGCUCAUCCGGGUUUCUACCCGGUGCACUCUUCUAUAGGCAGGCCAGCAUCAGUUUGGGCGGUUGGAUAAAGGUCUCUGUCAUGUACCUCUCUUCGGGGAGAACUUAUAGGGGAGACGACAUGCAACCAGCCUGGACUGAGGUCCGCGCAUCUGCUAGGAUGCUGGCGUAAUGGCUGU